UUGAGCCAUCCUGCUAGCAGUCCCAGGGGCCAGGGGCCCCUGUCAGCGGGCAUCUGGAUCUCUUUGAGCUUUGGGUGUUGGGCAUCUGCUGGCAGGAAGAUGGGCAGCUGUGGGGCAGCCCCUUAGGCCCUGGGGCCCAGUGGGCAGCUGUGGGGAAAGCCCAGUGGGCCCUGGGGCACUUCAGGGAGCCCCCUGUCUCCACAGUGAGUUCUCAGCCAUCUGGGGGUCUGGCCUGUGUCACUGGGUGGGUGCCCCUACUCAAGAUGGUGCACAGGCCAAAGAAAACAUAUGAAGCUGUUUUGUGUCCACACUGGGGCCCCUCUGGGCUCUUAGCCACCACUAGAAGGGCGUGGCCAGGCUCAGUGGGCUCAGGGCACCUUUCCCUGCAGGCCUUUCCCCACUGUGUGCUGAGCACGGCCCUCCUCAUUCAGAAGGAACCUGGACACACUCCACCCCCCAAACCAGCCUCCCAGGAGGCACUGCCUGGGGCUCCCUUUGGCAGAGGAAAGGCUGUCUGGAGGGAGAGGCUGUGGCAGCAGGAGGGUGGAGCCCUGCUCUAAGGCAUUGGGGCGUGGAAGCUGUGGGGAGGGCUAGGCCCCCUGUGCGGGCAAAGUGCCCUGCCCACUGUGGCUCCCGCACACUCAGGGUGCAGUGGCUCAGUGCUGUCGUUGGGGCUGGCCGUCAGCUCCAGCCAGGUCAGGACUGCAUUCCUGCAGCUUCCCUGGGGCAGCUGUAGGUUCCUGAGGGGUGCUGGGGAGAGGUGCAGUUGGAGGUGAAGGCUGUCUGGGGAGCUUCUCUGAGCCUCCCCCGCCCUCCUUUGCCUCGGUCCCCAUGGGCCCCAGCGCAGCAGCGUUACUCCUAUUUUGCACCCAGGACAGAAGCAAGGAAAGGCUGGACCAGCCAGAAAUGCGGGCACUCCCUGUUUAUAUCUGUCUGCCCAGCUGGGCCAGACUUCGAGUUGCGGUGGCCAAAAAGUAGCAGUGUGUCCUGCUAGGAAGCUUCAUAGCAUUUGUGGGCCCGGGGAGCCCAGAUCUUCCCCACUGAUGGCCUGAAGUUUGCAAAUGAUUAUAAAAUGAAUGCAGUCUGCAGGGAAAUCCCAACCUUGAGUUCUGAAUUCUAAUGUCGAGUAGGGGGAGCUGCAUGAAGUGUGAGGACCCCCCUCCACAAGACUCUUCCUGAGUAGUUGGUCCGUCCUCUCUCCCACCAUCUGCCCUGGGAGUAGGUCCUACCUGGAGCAGAACCUCUGCUGGGCCCAGGUCCUGACACAGGCCAAAGAGCCAGGUAAGAACCUACUCCAGGGAGGUUCUGGCUUUCCCAGGCCAUUUGCAUGCCCCUGGUCCAACAUGGCAGGACUCUGGGGGUACCACCCAGUCCAAGGGUGGGAGGACUUGCUCUUCCUGGAGCCCAGCAAGACACCUUGGCCCUGGGUCUGCUGGAAAUAGCUCCAAGAACUGCUGGGGGUGGGAGACAGGCCAGGGAGAUGUCUGGAGGGUGGGGGUGGAUGGUCCCCAGAUACAUCCUCACCCCACAAGGACCUGACUGAUGUCACUUUAGUGUGUGGGCCCCUCACUGCUGUAGCCUGUUUGCUGCCUGGGUGGGCAGCACUGACCCUGCUUUCAGAACAAGGAUCUGCCCUGCCCGCUAUGCCCACUUCCACACUUCUGCACCUGAGUCGUGACCCUUAGCUUCCUCCUGUCCAUCGUGUGCACACAUGCACGCACACCCACACCACAUAUAUGAGCAUGCACAGCAGUUCUCCAGAUCAAAAGGGGGACCUCUCUGUUCACUUCAGGCUCUAGGUGUGCACUCCUGGUCUCCCCCUCUUCUAAGUGAGGUAAAUGGACACAUUUGGGCCCCUGUCAUUGCCAAAGACCCUCAGACACCUUUACGUUGAUGUCAGAGGGCCACCAGCCUCUCCUGUUCAGGUGCUCUAGGAGAUGCUGCUAUGAAUGUCCAUGGAGCCCCAGACUUCUGUGGCCCUAGGGAGCCAGGCAGCAUGAGGAUACAGUCUUCUUGGGGCAACAGAAGUGGACUGCUUCUAUGAAGAACAUUCCAGACCACUCCCACCCUUUUUGGUUUGGAAACUUCUCUGGGAAUCAUCUGGGGCUCAUCACUCCCAGGCUCCAAGUUGACCCAUCCCUGAGGACUCUCCCUUCUUACUGUGACCUGUGAUACCUCCCGGGUCCCCUGGACACCAGCAUCUCAGACAGGGCUGACCAAGGACAGAGCUUGCAAUGUCCACGCAAGGAAGGGAACCAAUGAUCCUGUUCCUUGGACCCAUGGGAAAGGAGCAGUGUCCCCUGGAGUUCCUCAGCCCCUGCCUGGGGGUAAUGGUAACAGUGAGUUCCGAAGGCUCAGCCCCGGCCCCAGGGCUGCAGGCAAUGGAGAGAUAGGGGGAAGACGUUUCCAGAGAGACUCACUGAUGGCCAGUCUGCCACCCUCCAUCUUGCAACUUACCCAUUUAAGAGAGCCCUCUGUGCGUGAUGCUUUUGACCCCAGGUGAGAAGGUGGGAGCCAUGUCAUAGCUGAUUUUCCUCCCCAGUGCUACUUGGGGACAAUGUUUAAUGAGCCCUUAAGAAAGGUCAGUCUCUCCUACUUAGCUAAGAGUUCUUUACUGAGCUCCGAACAGAUGCAGCUGGAGUCACGGUUCUUAUGAACAAGUCAUUGAACUUGGAGGCCUUAUUUCCUCCCACCCAAAAUAUUACCCUUCUGCUGUCCAGGGGAAAUGAAAAAGAGGAAAGGCUGUGAGACACCAUGGAACGCUUAUGGCUGUCCCAGUAAUGGGAGACUGUUGGGUGCAAGGGCCCAGAGCCCGCUCCAGUCUCUGCACUUUGUCUGCGGCUUGGAUUCCGGAAGAGUUUCAUAAUUUCCAGAGCUGGUAGAAUUAAGAUGAAAGUGUAUUUUCCCGCACUCUCCUGAUCCCAGCAUCUGCAACACCAGCCAGGCUGCCCCAGCUUUUCCGGCAUGGGACACCCUCAGGAAAUAACAAAUUUUCUCAGAGCAAUUUAAAAUAUUUAAACCAUUUCAUAGAAAAACAGGGCAAAAGACCAAGGUAUGCAGGGCUGGCUCAACCGUGUUUUGGUAGUUACAGAAAGAGAACUUUGAUCAUGCUUCUUAUAUAUUUUAGAAGGAGUAAACAGAAUUACAUGGUCUUUUGUAAAGAAAAUCAAUUCUCUAUGAAGCCCAUCCUGGUCUCACUUCCUCAAGGGGCAGUACAGAAGGUCCUUGCCUGCCAGCAUUUUAUGAGAGGUUUCACACGACGCUCCAAUUAUUGAUAUGAGAACAACUAACUCAACUUUAAAAGAUUCAAACAUCUUGCUUCUUUGGUAAAUUUUUCUAUUCUGUCUGGUGAUUCUGAUGGCAUCUGUCUGUGCUGCACAGUUUACAGGUUUGGGGAAGUUAGCAUUGACCAUUCUCCUCAAUGAGGCCUUUGCAACAUGAUAUUUUUUAAAACAAGUCAGGGCAAGACUUUUUCAAUUUCUCACAUUUUAACCCAGAAACCAUAAAACAAGAAACUGUAAAUUAUUAUAUAGUUGACCCUUGAACAUCCUAGGGGACUAGGGGCACCAACUCCCCCUACAGCCAAAAUCUGCCUAUAACUUUUGACUCCCCCAAAACCUAACUACUAAUAGCCUACUGUUGGCUGGAAGCCUUACCAAUAACAUAACAGUUAAUUAACACUUAUUUUAUAUGUUGUGUGUAUUAUAUACCAUAAUCUUACAAUAAAGAGAAAUCAAAAUGUUUUUUUCAAAUUGUCAAAAAAUCUCUGAAAAAUUUUUUCCAAUAUAUUUAUUUUUAAAAAGUAUUCAUAUAAGUGGACCCAUGGCAGUUCAAACCCGUGUUGUUCAAAGGUCAGCUGCACUGCAUUUUUACUUAAUGCUUCCAGAAUAUGUUGUAAGGCCCAACCUAAAAUCAUGGCCAUCUUAUUCAAGGAAACCAGUUUAAAAUUUGUUAAACUUGUGUUUAAUUUGUUAACAUGUGUUUUAAAAUGUAUUAAUACACUUAGAAGACUAGGGAAACUUUUUGUUGGCAUCGGAGAUCUGGCUCAGUUUAGACCAAAACAAUCGCUAUUUAUAUUCCUUUAUAUUAUAAGCAUAAGUGGAAUCAUCACAAUUGAUUCCUUUCCAUUUAGCUUCCAGCCAAACCACUUAAUAAGCCCAUGAUAACUUGAGUGAUAACUCAAAUGAGAUUCUAAUAAUUUACUUUUGUAUUAUGAUAUGCUUCAACUAAUUUAUUCUUAGGGAUCAUCCUGGACCCAAAGUUUUUGUAGACAGUUGAUCCUCCGAACCGCCCCUAUGGCAGCUCCUUCACGGACGGUGCUGCUGUCAACAAGAUGUUUGAUGUUGUCACAUAAGACUUCGUGCUGGCCGCCGGCUCCCUGCCAGGUUUCUCCACAUGCUGGCUGGCACGUGGCCUCCGUCUUUCCUCUGGCUUCUGUGACUGGCAGCCCUCCCUCCAGCCAAAUUUUUUCUGCCUUCCUGGUCCCUCUCUCUCUGCCAACCCCUUCAAGAGUUCUCUUUCCCAUGUGAGCUCCUUGAUUAUUUCCUCAUACUACACGGUAUUUGCUACAAUCCCACAAGCUUCCUCCACCAUCCUUACACUGACCAUCCUCACUCUGGCUCUCCAUGGUGGUGGGCACAGCAUCUCUGUGCCCUCUAAACUCUCAGGUCCACAGUGGAAGUGCUUUCCCCCAAGCCCAGCCUCGGAGCCCUUUGGUCCCGGCGCCAGAGACCUCAGAGUCACUGCUGACUCCACACCCCUUCCCUCACCUGCUUCAUUCGGCUCCCUUGCCCAUCAGUUCCAACCGCUCCUGAGAUUCACGUUUUCUUCUUUGUGUCUCUGCCACCAGUUCAGACCUCAUAUUCUCCAAGAAGCCUUAGAAUAUAAGGAAUGUUUUAUUUAUCUUUGCAUCCCAAGGGCUGUUCACAUAGCAGGUCCUCAAUAAAUCUUUUUUAUUGGUGAACUGAAAUGAAAAGUUGGACUUUACUGAAAUGGCAAACUAGCAGGAGGGUGUCCUCUUUUACUGAGUCAAACUCAGUAAAUCUGCUUCUACAAAAUUCCACUCUGUUCUGAGAAGAAGAUAUCUGAGUACUUGAGGUUGUAACUUUAUUCUUUGUGGCUAUAUUUAAUUUUUAUUUGCCCGUUUUACAGAAGCAUUGGAAAAAUGAAUUUGCCACUCUCUCAUUUUCCUCUCUUCACUAGCAUUUUCUUUCCUAUGUAUUUCCUAUUAGUGCAUCAAAUGCUUGUUUGUUUGCGGCCAAAUUUUGUAGUAAAAAAAAAUUCUUUCCAAAUUAA
Manis javanica (Malayan pangolin) is the source of this 5295-nucleotide RNA transcript. It is a transcript of the gene named G protein-coupled receptor 55, with no coding region annotated. The record is from RefSeq and is a predicted model, not a curated record. NCBI's taxonomy places the organism in Eukaryota, Metazoa, Chordata, Mammalia, Pholidota, Manidae.